This 99-nucleotide small RNA is filed under the name Yersinia enterocolitica. RNAcentral describes it as "partial RtT sRNA". It matches the Rfam family "RtT RNA", at positions 31 to 130 of the family's 130-position model. From Rfam's summary of the family: This family represents a bacterial cis-regulatory element known as RtT RNA. The exact function of RtT is unknown although it is thought that it may be involved in changing the cellular response in relation to amino acid starvation. Lineage: Bacteria; Pseudomonadati; Pseudomonadota; Gammaproteobacteria; Enterobacterales; Yersiniaceae. The record is from RNAcentral.
UUCGACCAAGGUUCGCGCCGAGCGUAGCGAGACAACGACGCGCAGCGGCGGCCCGAAGGGUGAGGAACGAAGUGACAAGCAAUCCUUCCCCCACCACCU